This is a long non-coding RNA of Homo sapiens (human), 352 nucleotides long. RefSeq lists it as uncharacterized. The transcript is spliced from 3 exons. The record is from RefSeq and is a predicted model, not a curated record. NCBI's taxonomy places the organism in Eukaryota, Metazoa, Chordata, Mammalia, Primates, Hominidae.
AAAUAGAAAAUAAAAGACGCAGAGGAAACUUGUUACUUCCUCUGUCUGGGAAAGAAAGUGAUAGAAACAUUAGUUAUUAAUUGUCUCCUUUACCUCUCCCUUGAACACUGUGCAACCUGCAGAUGUGGAAAAAGACCAAGUGAAGUUGUUACUUGAUAUCCUGAAAAUGUCAGAAACUCAAAGAUAAGGAAGAGAGAAUGUACUGGAAAGUGAUAUUGUCACGGUGAAAUGAAUCUUAGAGGACAUGAAAGAAAACUUAGGAUCCAUGUGACUUCUGAAAUAAUUUUGGAUAAUUGAGGCAAGAACUUAGAAGAAAAAAAUUAUACAAUUCACAUGACAUUUUAAUACAGCC